RNAcentral lists this ribosomal RNA (253 nucleotides) under uncultured bacterium. Its description in RNAcentral is "partial 16S ribosomal RNA". It matches the Rfam family "Bacterial small subunit ribosomal RNA", at positions 524 to 776 of the family's 1533-position model. The record is from RNAcentral.
UACGGAGGGUGCAAGCGUUAUCCGGAAUCAUUGGGUUUAAAGGGUCCGCAGGCGGAUUUAUAAGUCAGUGGUGAAAGCCUGAUGCUCAACAUCAGAACUGCCAUUGAUACUGUAAGUCUUGAAUUCGAUCGAAGUGGGCGGAAUAUGACAUGUAGCGGUGAAAUGCUUAGAUAUGUCAUAGAACACCGGUAGCGAAGGCAGCUCACUAGGUCUGGAUUGACGCUCAGGGACGAAAGCGUGGGGAGCAAACAGG